Triticum aestivum (bread wheat) is the source of this 318-nucleotide long non-coding RNA. RefSeq lists it as uncharacterized. The transcript has 2 exons. NCBI's taxonomy places the organism in Eukaryota, Viridiplantae, Streptophyta, Magnoliopsida, Poales, Poaceae. The record is from RefSeq and is a predicted model, not a curated record.
CGGAGGGUGGCUGGCGUGCAGCUCUACAUCAACCACCUCAAGCCUGCCCGCCUCGGCGACCGCAUCAAGGCCAAGGCGAACCCCAUCCGGUACCUCGACCCCGACGCGUACUUGGACAAGAGUUACUUGGAAAUAUUGACAUUCUCAAACCAAAUAUGAGGUGCCCUUUAUUCAGUCCAUGGGAGUAUAUGUAAGUUGACUGCUUCAAACCCAAUCCGUGCUUGCUGUUUAGUGAAUAAAUAUGCUGGUAGAAAAUUGCAAACUUCGUAAUAUGAAUAAAUAUUUGAUGGUAAGUUGCGAUGAAGAUUAAAAUUGUAU